UUCCUGGAAAGGAAAGGGCUUUGGUUAGCUCUUUGCUUGAUAGUUAAUAUGUGCAGCUUGAUAUAGUAAAGAGUUUUUUGAAGGGUUUCUGUUUGGUACUAUGUACUAAACUUGACUGAGAUACUGUCCAAAAAGAAGCAGCAACUUGGAUGUUAUAGUUUAGUUUAAACAAUCAAUUUGAAUCAUAGCCAAGUUGCAGGAAUUUCCUUAUUACUUAACACCCCACUUGCAAGAAUUUUCAGCCUUUCUGGUUCUUAAAGUGACAGUCUUUACUUAAGUUUUGACUUUGUUUGGAAUGGUCAGGAUAUGCUGUGAUAAGAGGAGGGAUUGGAGAUUUCGGAGCUAGCCGGCAUCAGAAUGCUUCAUCAUCAGGGAGGAUGAGUCC
Molecule: long non-coding RNA, 385 nt
Filed under: Linum usitatissimum (flax)
Lineage: Eukaryota; Viridiplantae; Streptophyta; Magnoliopsida; Malpighiales; Linaceae
Description: long non-coding RNA (LUSI_LNC001451)
Source: RNAcentral